Molecule: long non-coding RNA, 258 nt
Filed under: Lathyrus oleraceus (garden pea)
Lineage: Eukaryota; Viridiplantae; Streptophyta; Magnoliopsida; Fabales; Fabaceae
Description: Pisum sativum (pea) long non-coding RNA (PSAT_LNC040813)
Source: RNAcentral
CAAAUGCAUGUCUUUGAAUUAAAAUGACAUAUUUACUUAGCUACUUAAUGUAUUUAUUUAUAAUGGUAGCCUUUUAAAGGUGACUAUGUUUACUACACCAAAUCAUCAUUGUUAGAAUGAUUUAUACUGAUUUCAUACCUUUUUAAAAAAUUAAAUUUAUGUGUUUAACCCUAAAACAAGAGAAUAUGCCUAUUUUUAAUGAAUACUUUUAUUUACUUAAAUUGUCAUUUAUUGAUAUUUGAGUUUUUUUAUAAUAUG